Molecule: non-coding RNA, 145 nt
Filed under: Aurantiochytrium limacinum
Lineage: Eukaryota; Bigyra; Thraustochytrida; Thraustochytriidae
Source: RNAcentral
AGCAGCUGAUGCAGAGGCGUCAAGAUGAGCUGAUGCAAAUGCAGCAACAACGGCAGCAGCAGCAGCAGCAGCAGCAGCAGCAGCAGCAGCAGCAGCAGUAGUUCUUCUGCUCCUGCAUCGUCUUCACACAAAAUGACCAUGGCGC